RNAcentral lists this ribosomal RNA (421 nucleotides) under uncultured bacterium. RNAcentral describes it as "bacterial SSU rRNA". It matches the Rfam family "Bacterial small subunit ribosomal RNA", at positions 917 to 1338 of the family's 1533-position model. The record is from RNAcentral.
GGGCCCGCACAAGCGGUGGAGUAUGUGGUUUAAUUCGAUGCAACGCGAAGAACCUUACCAGGGUUUGACAUCCUGCGAAUCUCUUGGAAACAGGAGAGUGCCUUCGGGAACGCAGUGACAGGUGCUGCAUGGCUGUCGUCAGCUCGUGUCGUGAGAUGUUCGGUUAAGUCCGGCAAACGAGCGCAACCCACAUCUUUAGUUGCCAGCAUUUAGUUGGGCACUCUAGAGAGACUGCCGGUGAUAAACCGGAGGAAGGUGUGGAUGACGUCAAGUCAUCAUGCCCCUUACAUCCUGGGCUACACACGUACUACAAUGCUACGGACAAAGGGCUGCAAGUUCGCGAGGACAAGCAAAUCCCAUAAACCGUGGCUCAGUUCAGAUCGUAGGCUGCAACUCGCCUACGUGAAGGCGGAAUCGCUAG